AAUUUUUUACCAUAGACAUAUUUCGUCAUAAUGAUCAUAUCUGACGGUCGAAUUUUGGUUUGUGAAUUUUAAUCAUCGGAAUCACAACGUGUCUACUAAUGUUGUAUAACUUAUUUAGUAGGUUAUACAACUUUGUGAACCAACUCUACAUAGGAAGCAAAAUUAUUAAAAAUCUCGUGAAAUAAGAUGUGUUCAAAAUGGUGAAAUACGGCUAUGGUUCAAAAAUCACGUAAAUCGGGUAAAGUCUCGGAGCCGAUAGUAGCGGUCAACUCUAUUUACCGUUAUUAUUCCUUAUGGGGAGCCCUAUCGUCGGAAGGUAAAUGUCUCAAAAUUUUUAUAUAGACGGUUGCGUCUCAUCUACGUGAGAGUUUUUCGUGUUGAAGAUUUGACCAAACUACGCAAUAUAGGGCGAGAUAUGAGCGUUUUCGUGAAUUUAUAGACUUUAGCCGACGAAAAUAUAUGAAAAGUCGUUGGCUAAGGUCAAAAAAUUUCAAAAUUUUUUAGGCGGUAAACCAAAGUUGGAGGAAAAUUUUCAAAGGACUUUAGCCGACGAAAAUAUAUGAAAAGUCAUCGGCUAAAGUCGAAAAAUUUUCAAAAUUUUCUACCAAAAUUUUUUGGCGGUCAACCAAAAUUUUCAAAAAAGUUUAGCCGACGAAAAUAAAGAAUUUCGUCGGCUAAAUUUAUAUAGGCGAAGAUGGAUGGUAAGAAGUCUAUUAUCUGCCAGAUUUUCUUCUCGGCCUAGCUCCGCCGUCAAGCCACCGGAGACCGCCACACUUGUCCCAAAAGCUUCGCCGUCGUCUCUACCUCAUUGCUGGAUAGGUGGUGCAUCGAGUGGCGCCGCCGUGAGGAAAAAAUCGAGCUCCAAAACUCCGCCGGUUCGGAUUCGGUGUCGAUCGAAUUUCUCCUUCCUUAGGUCACCAUUUGGUGUGUUCUAUAUAUGGAUAAGUUGAGUUUGAUUAGUACUACAUUCCCCUGGAAUUUGGUAGCUCGAUUCGGUGUGUGUGAAGAGAAUCGAAGAUUUGAAGUUUUUAGGGUUUAAAAUUGGGGAUUUUUAUAUUUUCAGUCGAUUGACCUGUUUAGGUUUAGAAUUGAGCUUCGACUUCUUCUAGAAAGUUGUUCGAAAUGUUGAGAGGAAGAUUCUAUCAAAUUUUGGUCGUGAUUGGAGGUGGCCGAAAGUUUCUGCAGUUUUUUUUUUUCAAAACCCAGCAACUUUAGCCGACGAUAUUUAAAUACUAUAUUCGUCGACUAUAGUUAUUUUUUAAUUUUUUAUAAGGUUUAGCCGACGUAAUAUAUAGUUAUUUUUUAAAUUUUUAUAAGGUUUAGCCGACGAAAUAUAGUAAAUUUCGUCGGUUAUAGUUAUUUUUUAAUUAUUUAUUACACACUUUAGCCGACGAAUAUCUUAAUUGUUUCGUCGGCUAAAAUCUGGGAAAAAAACCGACGACAUGUUUUUCGUCGGCUAACUGUGGGACUAUAGCCGACGAAAAAAAAAAUUUCGUCGGCUAAAGUCAUCACCGACGACCUUUUCCCGACGACA
This 1534-nucleotide long non-coding RNA is filed under the name Fragaria vesca (wild strawberry). RNAcentral describes it as "long non-coding RNA (FVES_LNC004273)". The record is from RNAcentral. Lineage: Eukaryota; Viridiplantae; Streptophyta; Magnoliopsida; Rosales; Rosaceae.